This 499-nucleotide ribosomal RNA is filed under the name uncultured Sphingobacteriales bacterium. RNAcentral describes it as "bacterial SSU rRNA". It matches the Rfam family "Bacterial small subunit ribosomal RNA", at positions 903 to 1382 of the family's 1533-position model. The record is from RNAcentral. Lineage: Bacteria; Pseudomonadati; Bacteroidota; Sphingobacteriia; Sphingobacteriales.
GCCAGCCCGCUCAGAAACUUAAAGGAAGUUGACGGGGCCCGCGACAAGCGGAGGAGCAUGUGGUUAAUUCGAUGAUACGCGAGGAACCUUACCUGGGCUCGAACGUAAGAUGACUGUAGGUGAAAGCUUACAUCUCUUCGGAGCAUUUUACGAGGUGCUGCAUGGUUGUCGUCAGCUCGUGCCGUGAGGUGUCGGGUUAAGUCCCAUAACGAGCGCAACCCCUACCUUUAGUUGCCAUCAGGUUAAGCUGGGGACUCUAAAGGAACUGCCUACGCAAGUAGUGAGGAAGGCGGGGAUGACGUCAAAUCAGCACGGCCCUUACGUCCAGGGCUACACACGUGCUACAAUGGCCGAUACAGAGGGCAGCCACCUGGUGACAGGAUGCAAAUCUCCAAAGUCGGUCUCAGUUCGGAUCGGAGUCUGCAACCCGACUCCGUGAAGUUGGAUUCGCUAGUAAUCGCGCAUCAGCCAUGGCGCGGUGAAUACGUUCCCGGGCCUU